UCCUUGGGUUCCCUUUAGAAGCUCCAUCAGUAUUUGUUUUGAGACAUCCCUCCAUUGUUUGUUCCCAUAUAACCUUCUGAUAUUUGAGCCUUGGUGUUUAAUUGUCCAUCAUAGUCAACUCUGCCACUUGUGGGGAACAUUUAAACCCUGUUUCCUGAGUUGUACAAGGCAUUGCAAUGCAGUAGAUACUUGGUAUAUUACUCUGAUAACUGAGACCUGAUCC
Molecule: long non-coding RNA, 223 nt
Filed under: Nicotiana benthamiana
Lineage: Eukaryota; Viridiplantae; Streptophyta; Magnoliopsida; Solanales; Solanaceae
Description: long non-coding RNA (NBEN_LNC004794)
Source: RNAcentral